Molecule: ribosomal RNA, 318 nt
Filed under: Clostridioides difficile
Lineage: Bacteria; Bacillati; Bacillota; Clostridia; Peptostreptococcales; Peptostreptococcaceae
Description: bacterial SSU rRNA
Rfam family: Bacterial small subunit ribosomal RNA
Source: RNAcentral
GUGGUGCAUGGUUGUCGUCAGCUCGUGUCGUGAGAUGUUGGGUUAAGUCCCGCAACGCGCGCAACCCUUGUCUUUAGUUGCCAUCAUUAAGUUGGGCACUCUAGAGAGACUGCCAGGGAUAACCUGGCGGAAGGUGGGGAUGACGUCAAAUAAUCAUCCCCCUUAUGCUUAGGGCUACACACGUGCUACAAUGGGUAGGCCAGAGGGUUGCCAAGCCGUAAGGCGGAGGUAAUCCCUUAAAGCUACUCCCAGUUCGGAUUGUAGGCUGAAUCUCGCCUAAAUGAAGCUGGAGUUACUAGUAAUCGCAGAUCAGAAUGC